RNAcentral lists this long non-coding RNA (440 nucleotides) under Vombatus ursinus (common wombat). RNAcentral describes it as "lncRNA (ENSVURG00010012294.1)". Lineage: Eukaryota; Metazoa; Chordata; Mammalia; Diprotodontia; Vombatidae. The record is from RNAcentral.
GUGGGCAUCAGGGAAGGGGCUGGGGUCCCAGCCCCAAGGGGGCUCCUGCAAACGGAAAAUGGAAAGAAAGUUCUCUUUUCUCCAUCUCCCCUCGGAAGAGGUUUCCGGGAUUCAUGCCUUCGAGGAGAUCUUAGAUUUAGAGCCCUAAGGUAUGGUUGAGCUGGUGAUACUCUUGGCUUCCUGAUUGGUGCAGAUGGCACCCACAUUCCUCCGAGUUGCAAAGAUGAGCAGGAGAAAGAAUUCUUGCUGAGGGGCCAGUCUCUUGACUGGAAUGUUGUGGCCAGCGCCUCAAGGUGCUUCUCUUAUUCUCUGCUCAUUCCUCAGGACUGGAUGCAGGAGGACCUGACAACGUCUUGUUCUCAGUGGUCUUGCCGAAAAAGAUUGUUCCUGGGGUAAACCACUCAAUGCCUUAUUUCUCCCAAUAAAAUAUUAUAUACACA